Molecule: long non-coding RNA, 409 nt
Filed under: Panax ginseng (ginseng)
Lineage: Eukaryota; Viridiplantae; Streptophyta; Magnoliopsida; Apiales; Araliaceae
Description: long non-coding RNA (PGIN_LNC013425)
Source: RNAcentral
GUGAUUAUGUAUACACCCCUUUCGACAUCGGGAUUUUUAUUUGUCCCUUUCUGUUCUUAUCCUUUGGUGUUUUCAUGUUAGGUGAGAUUUGUUUGAAAAAACAAGUUUAAAAAGGUCCGACAUGUAUAUGUCGACGAUUUGACUGUAAGAGUCGCCAGUUGGUAUUUUUACAUAGUUGCACCAACUCAACCGAGAAAAUGUUUGCACAAAGACCUAGUGAUGUGAUACUGUUUAACUGGUCUGCAAAACCGAAAUUCAUUAGGGUCCGGGGGCUUGAUUAAGCGGAGGGAAGGUGUUAGGCACCCCCCGACUUCCGUGAUAACAUGGUUAUCGCCACUUUUGAUUUUAAACUUUUAUCUGUUUGUGUGUGUGUGUGUGUAUAGGUCUAUGUGAAGUUGUUUGGAAGUAG